CAGCUGUACUAUACACGUUAAUCAGGCCCGCGCUAUUCUAAAUGGAUAACUGCGGAAAAUCUGGAGCUAAUACAUGCAAUUAAUGCGUCAUAGUGUAUGCUAUGCGUAGUGCAAUCAUUAGUAAUAAUGACCAAUAUAUAUAUAUUUUAUAUAUAUAUUUCUCAUUGUUGAACUCUGGAUAAUUUCCAACCUUUUACAAUGUAAAUUGGAAGGAAAAACGUGUAUGGAUCUGCCCUAUCAACUUGAUGUAAAGAUAUUAUCUUUACAUGGUGAUAACGGGUAACGGAGAAUUAGGGUUCGUCUCCGGAGAGAAUGCCUGAGAAACAGCUUUCACAUCCAAGGACGGCAGCAGGCGCGAAAAUUACCCACUCUUAGUACGAGGAGGUAGUGACUUGAAAUGACGAGAUACAUGUGGUAAAACAUGUGUAUCAUUGGAAUGGUUGAAACUUACACCAUUUCAAGAAUUCAAGGAGAGGGCAAGUCUGGUGCCAGCAGCCGCGGUAAUUCCAGCUCUCCUACUGAAUUAAACCUCUGUUGCGGUUAAAAAGUUCGUAGUUGCAAGUUAUACGAGGAUAUACGUGGAAAUGCAUAUGUAUUUGAUUAAUUUCUUGCAUAUGUAUUUUUACGAUCCCUGUCCUAUCGUAUUAGGUGAAAAUAUAUAUGUGUAACAGCAUAUAUGUUUUUUCCUGGUUACUUUGAGUAAAUCAAAGUGAUCAAAACAUGCGUUUACGCAUGAAUGGUUGUCCAAGGGAUAACAUAACAGUUGUGGUGCAAACUGUUUGUUGGUUGUAAUUGACCAUGACAUGGUUAAUAGGGGUAAUUCGGGGGCAGAGGUAUAUCCCGGGCGAGGGGUGAAAUCCGUUGACC
RNAcentral lists this ribosomal RNA (867 nucleotides) under Panagrolaimus sp. 4 TWN1482. RNAcentral describes it as "SSU rRNA". It matches the Rfam family "Eukaryotic small subunit ribosomal RNA", at positions 107 to 926 of the family's 1831-position model. Lineage: Eukaryota; Metazoa; Nematoda; Chromadorea; Rhabditida; Panagrolaimidae. The record is from RNAcentral.